Molecule: ribosomal RNA, 1437 nt
Filed under: Brevibacterium sp.
Lineage: Bacteria; Bacillati; Actinomycetota; Actinomycetes; Micrococcales; Brevibacteriaceae
Description: bacterial SSU rRNA
Rfam family: Bacterial small subunit ribosomal RNA
Source: RNAcentral
GAGUUCCUCGCUGCGUGCUUACACGUGCGAGUCGAACGCUGAAGCCUGGUGCUUGCACCGGGUGGAUGAGUGGCGAACGGGUGAGUAACACGUGAGUAACCUGCCCCUGACUUCGGGAUAAGCCCGGGAAACUGGGUCUAAUACCGGAUACGACUGCCGGACGCAUGUCUGGUGGUGGAAAGUUUUUUCGGUUGGGGAUGGGCUCGCGGCCUAUCAGUUUGUUGGUGAGGUAAUGGCUCACCAAGACGACGACGGGUAGCCGGCCUGAGAGGGCGACCGGCCACACUGGGACUGAGACACGGCCCAGACUCCUACGGGAGGCAGCAGUGGGGAAUAUUGCACAAUGGGGGAAACCCUGAUGCAGCGACGCAGCGUGCGGGAUGACGGCCUUCGGGUUGUAAACCGCUUUCAGCAGGGAAGAAGCGCAAGUGAUCGGUACCUGCAGAAGAAAGUUCCGGCUAACUACGUGCCGGCAGCCGCGUUAAUACGUAGGGUACGAGCGUUGUCCGGAAUUAUUGGGCGUAAAGAGCUCGUAGGUGGUUGGUCACGUCUGCUGUGGAAACGCAACGCUUAACGUUGCGCGUGCAGUGGGUACGGGCUGACUAGAGUGCAGUAGGGGAGUCUGGAAUUCCUGGUGUAGCGGUGAAAUGCGCAGAUAUCAGGAGGAACACCGGUGGCGAAGGCGGGACUCUGGGCUGUAACUGACACUGAGGAGCGAAAGCAUGGGGAGCGAACAGGAUUAGAUACCCUGGUAGUCCAUGCCGUAAACGUUGGGCACUAGGUGUGGGGGGCAUUCCACGUUCUCCGCGCCGUAGCUAACGCAUUAAGUGCCCCGCCUGGGGAGUACGGUCGCAAGGCUAAAACUCAAAGGAAUUGACGGGGGCCUGCACAAGCGGCGGAGCAUGCGGAUUAAUUCGAUGCAACGCGAAGAACCUUACCAAGGCUUGACAUACACCGGACCGUCCUGGAAACAGGUCCUCUUCUUUGAAGCUGGUGUACAGGUGGUGCAUGGUUGUCGUCAGCUCGUGUCGUGAGAUGUUGGGUUAAGUCCCGCAACGAGCGCAACCCUCGUUCUAUGUUGCCAGCACGUGAUGGUGGGAACUCAUAGGAGACUGCCGGGGUCAACUCGGAGGAAGGUGGGGAUGACGUCAAAUCAUCAUGCCCUUUAUGUCUUGGGCUUCACGCAUGCUACAAUGGCUGGUACAGAGAGAGGCGAACCCGUGAGGGCAAGCGAAUCCCUUAAAGCCAGUCUCAGUUCGGAUCGUAGUCUGCAAUUCGACUACGUGAAGUCGGAGUCGCUAGUAAUCGCAGAUCAGCAACGCUGCGGUGAAUACGUUCCCGGGCCUUGUACACACCGCCCGUCAAGUCACGAAAGUCGGUAACACCCGAAGCCGGUGGCCUAACCGUAAGGAGGGGGCCGUCUAAGGUGUACCGGGA